This 467-nucleotide ribosomal RNA is filed under the name uncultured bacterium. RNAcentral's name for it is "partial 16S ribosomal RNA". It matches the Rfam family "Bacterial small subunit ribosomal RNA", at positions 29 to 507 of the family's 1533-position model. The record is from RNAcentral.
ACGAACGCUGGCGGCGUGCUUAACACAUGCAAGUCGAACGGAAAGGCCCUGCUUUUGUGGGGUGCUCGAGUGGUGAACGGGUGAGUAACACGUGAGUAACCUGCCCUUGACUUUGGGAUAACUUCAGGAAACUGGGGCUAAUACCGGAUAGGGGCUCCUGCUGCAUGGUGGGGGUUGGAAAGUUUCGGCGGUUGGGGAUGGACUCGCGGCUUAUCAGCUUGUUGGUGGGGUAGUGGCUUACCAAGGCUUUGACGGGUAGCCGGCCUGAGAGGGUGACCGGCCACAUUGGGACUGAGAUACGGCCCAGACUCCUACGGGAGGCAGCAGUGGGGAAUAUUGCACAAUGGGCGGAAGCCUGAUGCAGCAACGCCGCGUGCGGGAUGACGGCCUUCGGGUUGUAAACCGCUUUCGCCUGUGACGAAGCGUGAGUGACGGUAAUGGGUAAAGAAGCACCGGCUAACUACGUG